UAUUUUUUUUUGUAUCUUUUAUACACUUUUAUAUAAAAUUAUGAAUAAAAGUGUUUAUUUUCAGUUUGAUAACAAAUCUGCGUGUUAAAUUAAAAUAUACAGAUAUGUAAUAAUACAGCGAUAAGAGCUUCUUAUGAAGGUAAGAAAGGAUAAUACACCAAGAAAAAUGGAAAUAAAAGAUUUCUUUUGGGAAGAUGUGUCCUUGCGUAGAAUUUUAUAAGAAAACCUCACCGAUUGUACAUUGCAUUUCAAAUGAAAGUAUGUGAUAAAAAAGAGUAAAGUUGGAGCAGCAAGAUUGUCGCCUUCAAAUCAUUCCUACAAAUACCUCCUUAGAAAAUUAUACUCUCGAACAUUCAAAUCCAUGGACUCUAUGCUGUCCCUCCCGAACCUGCUUUCUUCUUUGAUAUAAAGAUAAUUUAAAUCUUAAUGGUUGUUCUACACUGUUAGGGAAAUGUAUUCUUGUUAUAAAGAGAUGCAGUGUAUAAGAAAUAUGUGCAAGUUGCUGGAAAUAUGAACAUCCGGUGUUAAUCAGUAAUAAUACAAAUUCUAUAAUUCAUUUUAUAAUUUCAGAUUUAUCUUGAUCAAAAAUUAAGGUAAGAAGGAUAAUGGAGAUUGUGAAGGUAAGGUAUUAUGAUUGUAAUCGGAAUUGUAAGUAAUAUAAUAUUGUAAUAAUAAUAUACUAUAUUUAUUUAUAUAUUUUUACAUUUGAAUUAAAAAUUAUCAUUUACAGAUUUUUUCUUAUUGGUUUUAAACCUAUUAGAAUCAUUUAGUAUCAUCAAUAUGACACCUUAUUUAUUACAUCCAAGUUGUUUAAUUUCUAGUUAUUUACAGCUAACAAUAGUAACAAUAUAGCUAGUGGUUUUAUUAACAUUUUUGACGUUGCUGCUAACAAAUUAUGGCACACUCUAGAGAGUCACGCUAUGCCAUAUGCCAAUAAGGUCUCUGUGUUUUUCUCCAGACAAUCAGCUAUUAUUAACAGCCUCUGACGAUGGGCAUAUGAAAUUAUAUGAUGUAAAACAGACCCAUGUAAUUGGAACAAUAUCUGGUCAUGCCUCUUGGGUUUUAAAUGUGGCAUUUUCACCAGAUGGAAAGUACUUUGUGUCUGCCAGUUCAGAUAAGACGGUUAGAGUAUAGGAGGUUUAAAGCCGACAGUGUAUUCACACCUUUUUUUUUAAAUAUAAUAUUUUAUUAAAAAAACCUAAAUUUUUAGGGAUAUAACCAUUUUUAAAUAAGAUUUGUUUUUUAAUAAUGAUAUUUUAUCUAAAAAAAACAUUGCACGUUUGGGGUAUAAAAUUCAGUUCCGGAUAACUCGAAAAUUUUAUCAGUUUCAGAAGACAAAAGUAUUGUAAUAUAUAGUUGUCCUAAGUAAUAAAUGCUUUUUAUCCUAAUUUGUACUUAUUAAUAUAUUUUUUCUUGUUAAUAAAGGAUUUUUCAGCUUAAUUAAAUUUCAAAUUUGAAAAUUGUGACGCCAAAAGUUGAACAGAUACAUCCGGUAAGAGCUGUCAACGUUGAGUCAAGUUAAAGACUUGUGAAGUUAUUUUUUAUAUAAUUUAUCUCAUAUUUCUUACUAUUUAACUAUAUAGAAUUAGUUUCAUAUUAAACUAAGGGAUAUUUAUUGAAUAAAAACACUUGUUCCUUAAUGAUUUAUUAAAAUAUUAAAGAAAUGCAUGAUUUUAUAGUUCAUCUAAUUAUGGGCGUACUCAAAGAAAAAUUAUAAUAUUCUUUGGCGGCGUACCAGAUAAUUUCAAUAUAAAAUAAGUUCUGUAUGAUAUUUUAUACUGGAGGGAAUAAAUACAAAUAAACACAAAUCAUUUAGUUAAUUCAAGAAGCAUAUUCUACUGAAAUUUUAAUAAAAACCUUAUAAAAACCAUCCAUGUUUAUUAAAAAAAGUUAAAAUCGAGGCAUCCAAGAGCAAAAAAUCCACGAUCGUGAUUGGUCAGUUUCGGUGGCGUGGAGGUUUUGAAUUUUAUUCUCGUUCGAUGUUGCCGGAUGGUUAAAAAAUGUCAAAAAUCUUUUUUUCUAUGUGAUUUUUGUGAAAUUAUAUUAGUUUAAAUUGAUCACUAGCACUAUAGUAAGGGCCAUUUCUAUAUAUUUUUAAUAAAACAAGUACCAGUAAUGUUGCUUUGUAGAAAUUUCUUUUAUUCUUAUUAAUUACGUACUAACAUUAUAGUCUUUAUUCUUGGUUUCGAUGUAUUUAUAGCAUUAAAAAUGUAUUUAAACAGCUUCAU
This 2228-nucleotide long non-coding RNA is filed under the name Sitophilus oryzae (rice weevil). Its description in RNAcentral is "uncharacterized LOC115890217, transcript variant X1". The record is from RNAcentral. Lineage: Eukaryota; Metazoa; Arthropoda; Insecta; Coleoptera; Curculionidae.